Triticum aestivum (bread wheat) is the source of this 6366-nucleotide RNA transcript. It is a transcript of the gene named glutenin, high molecular weight subunit PW212-like, with no coding region annotated. The transcript has 7 exons. The record is from RefSeq and is a predicted model, not a curated record. NCBI's taxonomy places the organism in Eukaryota, Viridiplantae, Streptophyta, Magnoliopsida, Poales, Poaceae.
UGCCCCGUCCUCUCCUGCUCCCAUCGCCCGUCGCAGCCUCGUCUUUGUUUCGUCGCGACACAAUCGUGAGGUGCCCCCUAAUCUUGUUCCUCCUCUUCCUUUUCGAUUUACACAAGUUAGAAUCCAGGUUAUAAUUUUGUGAUUUCGUAGGUAUACUAUAUGUUUUGCGUGGUCUGUUCUCUUUGAUUCAGGAUGUCUGAAGAGGUCGUUCCGAUUUGCCUCAUCAGUACAUGUCUAUCCCUUAAGCCAAGUCCGUGAUGGCCGAAUCAGUCGUUGAUGGGUCAGAUUUUCUGGCGGUUCGUGUCUAUCCCUUAAGCCAAGUUGUGUAGGUAUAAUUUUGCUUGUUAGCAAGGCUAGAUCUAGAUCCAUACAUGUUUGGCUCCUUUGUUACUUUCACAAAUUCCCUAAUUCCUUUUCAUGCACGAGCCAAUAUAUUCUCUAGAUAAGUUAGACGGUUUGUGUGUUCUCUUUGAUCCAGGAUGUUGUGUCAUCCGAAGAGGUAGUUCCUGUGCCUCUCAAGUAGAUGUCUAUCGCUGAUCCAAGUUCGUCUGAGAUUUUCUGACGACCCGCUUGUGACGCCUGAAUCAGUUGAUGCGUCAGAUUCGUCAGUUUAUGUUGUAUCCGGGCACACCAACGGUUCAUCUUCAUCGUCUGCUCGAAGAAGGCUCUUAGGUGCUUGCUGCGGUCCACAAGGUGCCCGAGGACAUCCGAUUUAUGGUUCAUGUUCGUGGUUCCUUUAGCUAACCAGAUGAUGCUUUGCCCGUCUCCAAACAUCACAGGAAGGUAAUUGUGUUGGUAAGCUGAUUGGCGCGCAUGUGUGUACGUGCGUGCCUAUUGUAUUAUUGCCUGUUGUAUUACAUUGGUAGCAUAGGACGGCCUUUGCCAUGUCGGGUGCGCUCGCUUGGCAGGCCACGAGACAAUAAAAGGAAUAUUUUGCUGGUGUCCACGGGGUGGAGAUCGCACGGGAACUAUCAAUUUCUUCUAUUUUGCCCGGGUUCUCCACCCUGCCAUGGUGUCUCUGUCCUUCUCCUUUCAUGUGCUGUUGAUUCUGCGAUAUCCUCGUGGUACACCACGAUCCUACAUUAGUAACAAAUAUAUCGAUAGCCCUGAGUGCCGUGAUAACUACGUACUGAAGAUCAAUGAUAACUGAAUUCUGAAGAUCAGUGACAACUACAAAACCAAGGUACAUCUAGCUGCUUCCAUCAGGCAAGCACUUCGUUAUAUCAAUUUAAAUUUGCAUGUGAACGUCACCCCGGCGCAAAACAUAACCAUACUGAACAACUGCAUUUUGGUUUGAUACAAGAUCGAUUCAUACCUGUAAAUCUUGUGCUCUUGCACCGCGCCAGCACGAUAGUACUGAAAUACCCAUGAGAUAUCAUUAGAAUUCUUUUUCAAUGCAAUGUCUUCUGUUAGAAAAAAAGCGUUGUUAACUUUUUGUAGCACAAGCUUUUCCAGAAUUUUUGGUUACUUUGCAUAUUUUCGUCGAUGGUCGUCCAGUUGAAGAAGGCUCUGCCCACAAGGCCUGGGAGGGAACUGGUCAUCCGAUUUAUACUUAAUGUUUGCUGAUCAAAUCCAGAUGACGUUCGUGGUUCCUUUUGCUGACAAGAUGAUGCUUGUCUGUCCCCAAACAUUACAUAAAGGUAAUUGUGUUGGUAAGCUGAUUGAUGUGUAUGUGUGUACGUGUGUGUUGUAUUUGCAUACUUGCUGUACUACAUUGGUAGGGUAGGGCGGCCUUUGCCAUGUCGGGUGCGCUUGCUGGCAGGCCAUGAGACAAUAAAAAGUAUAUUUUGUUGGUUUGCGGGGUGGAGAUCGCACGGGAACUAUCAAUUUGUUCUAUUUUGCCCGGAUUCUCCACCCUGCCAUGGUGUCUCUGUCCUUCGCAUGUGUUCUUGAUUCUCCAAGAUCAUCUUAAAUUGCACCACAAUCCUACAUAAACAGGCAUGGGUGCGGCGAUAAUUAUAUACUGAAGAGCAAUGAACAAACGAAGGUACAUCUCACUGCUUCUAUCGGGCAAAGCACUUUGCUAUAUCAAUUUAAAUUUGCAUAUGCACGUCAUCCCAACUCAAAGCAUACAUGGUGGUUUACCCUUCGUCAAUGAACAACCAUAUUUUGGCUUGAUACGAGAUUUAUCAUGCAUGUAAAUAUUGUACUCUUGCACGCCAACAAUACUGAAAUGCCCACGAGAGAUCAUCGCAUUCUUGUUCAAUGUUACAAUGUCUUCUUUUAGAAAAAAAACCGUUGUUAACUUUUUGCAGCACAGGCUUUUCCGAGCCGUUGUUAUGAGCUUUGGACCUUUGGUCGUAAUUCAACUAUUUCCUGUUAAUUCUCAUCCUGUGUGCAUAGGUGAGUUCAUUUGUUCUACUACCUGGUGUACAUAUUUAUUAUAUAUCAGUUCUGUAAAUACCAUUGAAGGGUUUGUUUUCUCCUGUGUAUACUUGUCAGUCUUCCAAAUUUGAUGCCUUGUUAAUGGCCGUGAGGACUCGAGCUUGUCCAGAUGUUCUUCAUCAUAGUUCCUCUCGGUGAUCAGCUGGAUUCCAGUUGAGGUUUACUGGAUGUAUAGCUUGUCAUAUCAGAAAAAAUAAUGAUUCUGAAUGCCUUUUUUGAUCAGCAAUGUCUAUUCGGGAACAGCUGGUUUCACAUUCCAUGCACGUCUGGUUAUGUGUAAUCUUACAUUUGCAUGCAAUUCCUAGCCAUGCAUAUAUGGCAUCGUCCGAGAUGUAGAGGCGCCUGCAUGCACCAAGCGACCAGCACAUCAGUCAAAAGGCUGAUUGCUGGCUCAUUUGGCACUAUCUCUAAUUGGAAGUACAAUGCACCUCAACCUAGUGCUGAGCAAUCCCGGAUGCAAAUUGCUAACAACAAGGUCAUUCCUUUGCAUUUGCCUCCUGGUGAUACUUCAACUGAAAGAACACUGUAUAUUGACGGUACUGCAGAGCGAAUUGAAAUAGCAAAGCAGCUUGAGUGAGGUUACCGGUGAGAAUCAUGCCAGAAAUCCAACAGGGCUACCACCCUCCCCGUCCUUGGGCAAACUGGGGUGUGUCUGAUGCACCAGCAACACAACAGCCUGUUUACAUGCAGCCUGGAGCUUAUCCUGGUGCACCACCAUAGUAUGGCCAGCAACCUUAUGGCAGAGUAGCCCCCUGGCACUAUAACCAACAGCAGCAACCCCAACAACAACAGUAUGCCACUGGAACUGCUGCACCUGCCGAUGCUAGCAACUACAAUUACAGCCAGUCUGCUACUCAUGUUCACAAGGGUAUGGUGAUUCUACGUACUCUCAGCAGAGUGGCAGGCAGCAAGUUUAUAUAUGAUUACUCUGGUUAUCAGACCCAAGGGCUGUCUUACUUGCAGCAGCCUGGAUAUAUCAGCAGGACUAUGGGGCAUCGAUCAGCUGCGAACUCAACUCAGGGUGGUGGUACUGCACCGAGCUAUGGUGGUCCAGGUCAGCAAGCUUCAAUUCCAGCCACUGGAGGCCAACUGGGUUAUCCUAAUCAACCACCUAUACUACUGCUGCUGCAUCAAGCUACAUGACGCAAGGUUCUGCCCCUCAAACUGGAUACAUUGCUCCACAGACACAGCCUGGCUAUGAUAUGCAGCCACCACCACAGUCCACGUAUGGCCAGGAUGCUUAUGGACAGCCACCACCACCGCCUUCAUCUGCUCCGUAUGGACAGGCACCACCUACUCAGGCUGGUUAUGGGCAGUAUGGAUACAGUCAGCCAGGCUAUGGUGCACCGCCGCCUUCCCCUGGUGCACCCACUGCUAGCCAGCCAGGCUAUGGCCAAUAGCAGCCAUACUGUGAUCGUUAUGCUGCUGGUAGCUAUGGGCUACCUACAGCGUAUUGUAUUGAAGGUUUAAAUCGGCGUGUAAGUGAAGGCGUUUUUCAACUUCACGCCUUCGACGUCGACCCCCUUCCCCCUGGUGCAAUGCUAUUUAAUCAGAAAUCAUUAUCUUUAAGAUUCAAGGACGUUCGAGGAGUUUCCAGAACCAUUGAAGACUUUGCUGAGCAAGGCAAGCAACCUACUUUGAUCAUGUUGAACCCAUAUUUGCAUUACACUUAGAAUUCUUUUUCAUGCAUAAAGUAUUGUUUACUAGUAUUGCUGGGUUUAGCUAUGCCCCCUAUGUGCUUGAUAUUGACACCCCUUUGACAUUCUUAUGCUAAGUAAAUUAGCUAGGGUUUAGCUAUGCUCUAUGUGCUUGAUAUUGACACCCUCCUUUGACAUUCUUAAUACCCCUCCUUUAUAACCAUGUAGUGGUCACAAAUAAAUGUGCAUCAUAUGUGCAAGUUUAAUAGUAAUACUUAGCCAUGGUAGUCGCAUGCAUCAUAGGACUUGGGAAAAAUCUUUGUUACUCAUAAAUGUUUUACAAAAAACCCAAGGGUGUCACUAAUGCCCAUGGGAUGAUUCUGAAAAUAAGGUUUUACAAAAUGGAGAUGAAGUGGAGAUUUAGUUAGGUGAUUGUGAUCUUGACGAGAUAGUCAAAGACAUUCGAUGAAUUAUGAAAAUUUAUGUCUAGCAAAUGAGAAUGGUGGAUAUUAUAUUGGUGGAUAAAUGAAUCUUCAAUAAACUUGAAGCAAUUUGGAUUUAGUUAGGCGAUUAUGAUCUUGAACCAAAUUUUUUUGAUGCAUUUAUUUAGUUCAUUGUGAUCUUGAGGAGAUAGUCAAAGAUGUUCGGUGGAUUAUUAAUCUUUGCCAAUUUGAAUUUAAUUAUGUGAUUGUGAUAUUGAACCGUAUUUCAUGAUGGAUUACGAGAUUUUAGGUGGAUUUAGUUACGUGAUUUAAUCUUAAGAAGAUAGUCUAAAAUGCUCGGUUGAUUAUGAGAGUUUAGCUAUGGUAGAUGGCCAUGGUGAUUUAUUGGUGGAUAAAUAGAUCUUUAAUUUUUUUGGAACAUUUCGGGUUUGGUUAGGUGAUUGUGAUCUUAAACCAAAUUUCAUGAUAGAUUAUGAGGUUUUGGUUGGAUUUAGUUAGGUGAUUGUGAUCUUAAACCAAAUUUCACGGUAGAUUAUGAGGUUUUGGUUGGAUUUAGUUAGGUGAUUGUGAUCUUGACGAGCUAGUAAAAGAUGUUUGGUGGGUUAUGUGAAUUUAGGCCUAGUAGGUGAGCAUGGUGGUAAUUUUAUCAGUUAACUUAAUUUUUAAUAAACUUGAGAAAAUUUGGAUUUAGUUAGGCGAUUGUGAUCUUGAACCAAAUUUCAUGGUGGAUUACGAGAUUUUAGAUGAAUUUAGUCAGUUGAUUGUGAUCUCGAGGAGAUACUCAAUGAUAUUAGAUCAAUUAAUUAACCUUGAACAAUUUGAAUUUAGUUAGGCUAUUGUGAUAUUGAACCGAAUUUCAUGGUGAUUUAUGUGAUUUUAGGUGGAUUUAGUUAAGUUAUUAUGAUCUUGAGAAGAUGGUCAAAGAUGUUCGGUGGAUUUUAAGAUUUUAGGUCUAGUACAUGAGCAUGGUAUGGUGACUAUUAUAUUGGUGGAUAAACAAACGUUUAAUUUAGGUUGAAACAAUUUGAAUUUAGUUAGAUGAUUGUGAUCUUUUAAGCAAGUUCACUGUGGAUUUUGAUGUUUGGGUUAGAUUUAGUUAGGUGAUUGUGUCCCGACGAGAUAGUCAAAGAUGUUUGAUGGAUUAUGUGAGAAUUUAUGCCUAGUAAGUAUGGUGGUUAUUAUAUUAGUGGAGAAAUGGAUUUUAAGUAAACUUGGAGUAAUUUGGAUUUAGUUAGGCGAUUGUGAUCUUGAACCAAAUUUCAUGGUGAAUUACAAGAAUGUAAAUGGACUUAACUAGUUGCUUGAGAUCUUGAGGAGAUAGUCCAAGAUGUUCGGUGAAUUAACUAAUCUUUUUUAACACAGUACAGGCGCAGUCGCUCAUAUAAACGCGCAUACACGCACACCCUAUCCCUAUGAGCACCUUGAGAGCUGGCAUAUCAUCUUGAUAUUUUACGAAGUUACCGUGGACGCCUCGUAGUCGACGGGAACAAUUUUGAUUUAGUUCAGUGAUUGUGAUAUUGAACCAAAUUUGUCGGUGAUUUAUUUGAUUUUAGGUGGAUUCAGUUAGGUGAUUUUGUCUUGAGGAAGAUAGUCAAAAUAUUCGGUGGAUUAUGAGAUUUUAAGUAUGGUAAAUGAACAUGGUGAUUAUUAUAUUGGUAGAUAAACAUAUAUUUAAUUUAGUUUGGAUUAGUUUGGAUUUAGGUAGGUGAUUGUGAUUUUUUAAUCAAAUUUUACGGUAGAUUAUGAGGUUUUGGUUGGAUUUAGUUAGAUGAUUGGGAUCUUGACGAGCUAGUAAAAGAUGUUUUGCUAGAUUAUGUGAAAUUAGGUCUGGUAGGUGAGCAUGUUGGUUAUUAUAUUGGUGGAUAAAUGGAUUUUUAGUAAACUUGAAAAAAAAAUUGGAU